This 407-nucleotide ribosomal RNA is filed under the name uncultured bacterium. Its description in RNAcentral is "partial 16S ribosomal RNA". It matches the Rfam family "Bacterial small subunit ribosomal RNA", at positions 30 to 526 of the family's 1533-position model. The record is from RNAcentral.
AUUGAACGCUGGCGGCAGGCCUAACACAUGCAAGUCGAGCGGAGCGGCGGACGGGUGAGUAAUGCCUAGGAAUCUGCCUGGUAGUGGGGGAUAACGUCCGGAAACGGGCGCUAAUACCGCAUACUAUCAGAUGAGCCUAGGUCGGAUUAGCUAGUUGGUGGGGUAAAGGCCUACUAAGGCGACGAUCCGCAACUGGUCUGAGAGGAUGAUCAGUCAAAUUGGAACGGAGACAGGGUCCAGACUCCUACGGGAGGCGGCAGUGGGGAAUUUUGGACAAAGGGGGCAACCCGAAUCCAGCCAUGCCGCGUGUAUGAAGAAGGCCUUCGGUUUGUAAGGUACUUUUGUUAGGAAAGCGGUACCUAAAGAAUAAGCACCGGCUAACUACGUGCCAGCAGCCGCGGUAAUUC